AAAGAAACCAACAGGGAUUGCCUUAGUAGCGGCGAGUGAAGCGGCAAAAGCUCAAAUUUGAAAUCUGGCGCCUUCGGUGUCCGAGUUGUAAUUUGAAGAUUGUAACCUUGGGGUUGGCUCUUGUCUAUGUUUCUUGGAACAGGACGUCACAGAGGGUGAGAAUCCCGUGCGAUGAGAUGCCCAAUUCUAUGUAAGGUGCUUUCGAAGAGUCGAGUUGUUUGGGAAUGCAGCUCUAAGUGGGUGGUAAAUUCCAUCUAAAGCUAAAUAUUGGCGAGAGACCGAUAGCGAACAAGUACAGUGAUGGAAAGAUGAAAAGAACUUUGAAAAGAGAGUGAAAAAGUACGUGAAAUUGUUGAAAGGGAAGGGUUUGAGAUCAGACUCGAUAUUUUGUGAGCCUUGCCUUCGUGGCGGGGUGACCCGCAGCUUAUCGGGCCAGCAUCGGUUUGGGCGGUAGGAUAAUGGCGUAGGAAU
This 471-nucleotide ribosomal RNA is filed under the name Meyerozyma guilliermondii. RNAcentral describes it as "eukaryotic LSU rRNA". It matches the Rfam family "Eukaryotic large subunit ribosomal RNA", at positions 58 to 534 of the family's 3401-position model. The record is from RNAcentral. Lineage: Eukaryota; Fungi; Ascomycota; Pichiomycetes; Serinales; Debaryomycetaceae.